Molecule: ribosomal RNA, 508 nt
Filed under: uncultured bacterium
Lineage: Bacteria
Description: partial 16S ribosomal RNA
Rfam family: Bacterial small subunit ribosomal RNA
Source: RNAcentral
AUUGAACGCUGGCGGCAGGCCUAACACAUGCAAGUCGAGCGGCAGCGGGAAAGUAGCUUGCUACUUUUGCCGGCGAGCGGCGGACGGGUGAGUAAUGCCUGGGAAAUUGCCCAGUCGAGGGGGAUAACAGUUGGAAACGACUGCUAAUACCGCAUACGCCCUACGGGGGAAGGCAGGGGACCUUCGGGCCUUGCGCGUUUGGAUAUGCCCAGGUGGGAUUAGCUAGUUGGUGAGGUAAUGGCUCACCAAGGCGACGAUCCCUAGCUGGUCUGAGAGGAUGAUCAGCCACACUGGAACUGAGACACGGUCCAGACUCCUACGGGAGGCAGCAGUGGGGAAUAUUGCACAAUGGGGGAAACCCUGAUGCAGCCAUGCCGCGUGUGUGAAGAAGGCCUUCGGGUUGUAAAGCACUUUCAGCGAGGAGGAAAGGUCAGUAGCUAAUAUCUGCUGACUGUGACGUUACUCGCAGAAGAAGCACCGGCUAACUCCGUGCCAGCCGCCGCGGUAA